This 253-nucleotide ribosomal RNA is filed under the name uncultured bacterium. Its description in RNAcentral is "partial 16S ribosomal RNA". It matches the Rfam family "Bacterial small subunit ribosomal RNA", at positions 524 to 776 of the family's 1533-position model. The record is from RNAcentral.
UACGAAGGGGGCUAGCGUUGUUCGGAAUCACUGGGCGUAAAGCGCACGUAGGCGGAUCUUUAAGUCAGAGGUGAAAUCCCAAGGCUCAACCUUGGAACUGCCUUUGAUACUGGGGAUCUUGAGUCCGGGAGAGGUGAGUGGAACUGCGAGUGUAGAGGUGAAAUUCGUAGAUAUCGGGAGGAACACCAGUGGCGAAGGCGGCGAUCUGGGUAGAUACUGACGCUGAGGUGCGAAAGCGUGGGGAGCAAACAGG